RNAcentral lists this transfer RNA (71 nucleotides) under Ceuthomantis smaragdinus. RNAcentral describes it as "tRNA-Val". It matches the Rfam family "tRNA". From Rfam's summary of the family: Transfer RNA (tRNA) molecules are approximately 80 nucleotides in length. Their secondary structure includes four short double-helical elements and three loops (D, anti-codon, and T loops). Lineage: Eukaryota; Metazoa; Chordata; Amphibia; Anura; Craugastoridae. The record is from RNAcentral.
UGAAACGUAGCUUAACCAAAGCCCUUCGUUUACACCGAAAUAAUACUUGUUAAACCCAAGUCGUCUCUACG